UGGGACUACAGGCGUGAGCCACCACACCCGGCCUAUAUUUUAUGUUUUGAGAAUACUAUUCUAUUAUAAAAAACCAUUUCUGCCUCUCUUUCCUGCAAGGCUCUGUGACUGGUUACUACUAGUGUAUUCUCUAUCGCCUGACCAAGUGCUGAAAAGAUGGAAUUACAGAUAUAAAACUUCUAUAGAAGAUUUGUGUAAAGUAGUUGAAUUUUAUGGUUUUUAAUAUACCCUAUUGGAACAAAUAACUAGGUUCAAAUCUCUUUAGAGUAUAAGAAAAAUAGAAUUCCAUUGAAGUAAGCAAAUUUAUCAGGGUCCUUUGAAUCCAUUGGUCAGUAGAAUCCAUUAAACUCAGCUGAUGAAUCUGGAAUGGGAUGGGGCUCCCCGGCUGGUUCGCCGAGGAGUCUUCCUGGGCCUGUCUGCAGAGAUGCGGGGAGAAAGUGGGUUUGGUGUAGAACCCGGGGUGUAACGGGGUGAGGAGAGGGCAACUAUUUGGGAAAGCUUCCAGCUAGGAGCUGUGGCCUUCAAGAAAGAGACCUGUCCGGCUGUGGUGACCGGGAAGGUGAGGGUGUCCUCACUCUUCUCCCUCCCACUGGUCUCCAGUGGCCCCUCCUUGGCCAAAUCCAACCAGAGGCCAAAAGCCCUGAGAGCCCACGAUGCCAGUCACACAGUUGGCUCCCAGGACCAAGACAAAACCAACAGAAGCCGUAGAGUGUUCGUGCCUUUCACAGCACCUCCUACAAGCCCCUGAAGCCCGUGCCAUGCCACUCUGUUGGUGGUCCACAAACACAGGAAACGAAGCUCUAGAGGGCAGGGGUAUGUGCUCCCCUCCAUCAUCCCCCAGGGUCUGGCUUUAGCCUGGCCCAGGGAGCCCUCGCGGCUUCCUGAACAGACCUCAGUGCCCUUCCCCAGCUGUGUGCGACAAGGACCCUGCGAGAAGGUCUUCCUAGACUCCCAGCUAAGCACAGAGGUUCUCACUCUGGCCGUUUCUUACCUCUGUGGCGCACUUAUUCAGAAAGUAAAGGCUAAUAGUAGGAAUCAUCAGUACCUGCUGCUGCAAACCCAGAAACACUGUGUCUACACGGGGCUGUCAGGGUGACCGAUGGAAAUUGGGCCGUUCCUGCCCUGGAGUUUCUCCCUGCGCAGGUGCUCGCUGUGCUCUUUUUGCUGAAGAACAGCCACUUUGUUCUGCACCAGAUGGCAGAGGGUGUCAGACCCCAGCCCAGGGAGAGCAUUUAUUUUCUUAGGUUUACCAUUUAAAAUGAAUCGGAGGAAUCUGGAAAGUUACAGAAGCAGGGACGGUGACUGGAGAAUCCCUUAUCUUUUUGUGUAUAUUUUGGGUUCUGAGGAUUACCAGGAGAUGUGUGGAUGACAGAGCCCGUCGCUAGGCUCUUAUGUCACAGAUGGGCUGCUGUGCUGCGUGGUCAUUGAGACCAAUGGAAGGAAAUUGAGAUGUGACUGGGCAGGAUGGUGACAGGGCCUGAAGCCUAUGCAUGGAGGGAACGUGCAGUGACCAGAGAGAAGGGUGGUGAUGAGGAUGAGGGCCAUGAGGCAUGGUGACUGUGACCAGCUGAUGGAAGGUUUGCAAAGAAGGGCGUCCCAACUUGUCCUGGAUGGCCCAGGUUCUUAAAACUUCGACUUGAAGCGAAAGGACUUAUAAUGAAGCCAGUUUUUUUCCUUAUCAGCAUCAUAAUGAAACAACGUGGGAGGAAACAAAGUUAUUUGAGGACCUGCUGUACACAGUUUUGCUUAAAGUCACACAUUUCCAAGAACCUGUCAAUGGCAUUGAGGACUUUCUGUACAAAAAUCACUACGCGUGACAGCUCAAAUAAUAAACAGUUGUUCAGAGACAGUGGUACUGCGUCCCCCUCCUCCAGUCCAGUCCCCCACCCUGAGCGUUGAUGGUGGGGUGUGCAUCCCCCACCCCCCAAGCCUGUUCCUAGAAGGCCAUGGCGCACCUGCUCUGUGCAGAGGCUGGGCGAACACCAGCCCGAGCCUGACUUAAGCAGGAUGGGCAUGGACAUCGUUGGCACUCACUUCCCUGCAGGGAGGUGCACAGUGAAGAAUAAAACACAGGUGAUUUCAGAUAGUGGCACAUGCCUGAGGCAAUCAGCCCCGAUGGUGUGGCGGGGCAGGUACUAGAGAUUGUGUUUGCAGUGAGGGCCACUAAGGGGGGCGGAGAAGACCCCUGACAGCAAGAAGGAGCCCCACUUGUGCUGUUCUGUAAGGAGGGUCUUCCAGGCACAGAGAGUGGCUGAUGAGAAAGGGCCUGUGUGGAAGGAACCAGGGCCAAGCGAGGGAGGCAGAUGCCGCGUGGCGUGAGGAGGGUGAGAGUCCAUGCCAUAAAGGACUGUCAUCCAUCUGUCAUUGGCUGAAUUGUGACCUCCAGAAAGAGAUGAGUUGUCCUAACCCCCACUACCUCAGAAUGUGGCCUCAUAUGGAACUAGGGUCAUGGCAGAUGUCAUUAGCUAUACAGGAGGGGAGGGGAUGGACCCUCAGAGGCGAGACGGACGUACAGGAAACACCACAUGGAGACUCUGGCGGUGGCUGGGGCAGCGCGGCUGUGGGGCAGAGAAUGCUGAGAUAAACGCCACCAUCAGAAACCAAGAGAAAGGAAAGGGACAGGUCCUCCGGGGAGCCUUCAUGGGGAGCCCUGGCAUGGCCUUCAGGCCUCCGAGGAACCCAGAGGAGGAAACGCAUUUUUGUGGUUUCACGCCACCCAGCGUGCGGUGCAUUGUGGCAGGUGCAGGCCGCUAGUGCCCCCCACCCAGUCUCUGUGUCCUCUGCACAGUAGGGAGCUGGGGAAGGUGUGUGGCUACUAACGUGAGCCUGUUAACGUUGAAAAUUUCCCUCUGGCGGCUGGGCAGAGUGGGCUGCAGGGGCUGAAGUAGGCAGUGGUGACAGUGGCUUCCCCAGGCAUCAGCGCCACAGGAGGAGAGACACAGACUGUGGCUUGCAAGCAGAGCUGGCAGGACUUGCUGAAAGAGUUAAUAUGGGAAGUGAGAGGACACAGAGGCCAGGGCCGGGAGACCAGGAGGCCGAGAGCGGUAGAACGUCACAUCCUGGAGGGGCGGGGAUUUCCCCUUUUGUUUUGUUUCUGUAUAAGAUCAUACCAUGUAUAUUCUGGAAUUUUACUUUUCUAAUUUAACACCCCGUGGGUCUCCAGUUCUUCCACAAGCUGUUUGAAAGGCCACAGGGCACUGCGUGGAAUGCGUGGUCUCUAAUAGGUUAUGCCAGCCCCUCUCGUUGGGCAUUGAAAUUGCCUCAGCAGUUUUUUUAACAAUUACCAGUAAUACUUCCCUGAACAUCAUUGCACAUACAUUCUGAAGCGCUCACGCUUUGUUCCUGUGGACAUCUCUGCCUGAUUGGAAGCUUGCGUUGCACAUUCAGCCCACGCCUCCAUGGCUGGUCCUGGACUGGGUGAGGACACCAUGAGAAACAGCUAGACUUGGGAUGUCUGUGUUGACAGGGCCAUGGGUGAGAACAGAGAGUUUCUCAAGCGACAUGCCAGGAAGAGCUGGCUUCCCCGCACAAGCAGUGCUACCAAGGGUCCAUUUGUUACUGAGUCAUUCAUUCAGCAGACUCGUUGAGAACAUGUGUGGUAGGCACGUGCUGGGCACUGAAAAUAAACAGACAAACACAACAUGACCCACGCACCCAGCCUGAGCCCAGGAGGCUCCUGGUCCCGUCCUGGAACAGCCGGUGACUCAAAGCUCAAAUAUCAUCCCCACCUGGACAGUCUGCAAAUGACUUUCCUUCUUCCCUCAUCCCCUUUCCCAUCCUCACUCUCUUCCAAGUAUCUGAUUGCACGCAUGUGCACAUGUGUGAGUAGGGGAGAGGCUGUGUGUUUUCAUAAGCGAAUCCUGAUUUUCUGACAAAAGAGACAUGAAACAAAUAUGUUAACAAGUAAUGUUGCUCCCUCUCAUGAGGGGGUCACUGGCUGCCCUUAUAGAAGGCCUUGGAAAGAAUUACUUCAUGCAUUCCUGUUCAUUGGCGGUCUUUGGCCUUUGAGAGUGGAACUCUGCAUCUUCUUGUCCCUCCUGGAUGAAUACAGGACACUUAAACAUUUAAAGGGGGGACACAGAGAUGGGCAGGACUGUGAGAGUCCCCCUGAAAAGCGAGAUUUCAUAGAAGUAUUGAAUUUUACCAAAAGUUUCAGAAGUCCAAUUCAUUAUUAGAUUUCUAUAAAUAUAAAUAUUUAUAUGAUAUUUCUUGCGUUGAAUUCAGUAUGUGCUCAAGUUAAGUGUGAUUUGAAAAAUGACCAAGUCUCCUAAGGUGAAGUUUGUGUGUGAACAGGAGGGCCGGGGUCGCUGGGUUCCAGGCGCAGCCAUGAGACACCUGCUCUGCACCCAGCUCUUCUUUUGUUUUGCUCACCGAGAAAAAGAAGACUCGGGAACCACAGAACUAACACAGAAGUAAGUUAGAAAAUUACUCACGUAUUCGCCCACUGUGUGCCAACAGAGUCUUGAUCUAUUGCCCAGGCUGGAGUGCAGUGGCACGGUCUCAGCUCUUACUGCAGCCUCUGCCUCCCAGGUUCAAGCAGUUCUUGUGCCUCAACCCCCCAAGUAGCUGGGACUACAGGCACAUGCCGCCACGCCCAGCUAAUUUUUGUAUUUUUAGUAGAGACGGGGUUUUGCCAUGUUGCCCAGGCUGGUCUCGAACUCCUGGCCUCAGGUGAUCUGCCUGCCUCAGCCUCCCAGAGUGCCAGGAUUACAAGAGUGAGCCACCACGCCCAGCCCAGGAUGCUUUCUUUUCAUGGGUCUUUGUCCUUUGGAGGGCCUUGACCUCACGCAGCAGGGGAGGAUGCUGGCCCACACCAAGGCACCAAGAUUUUACCCACCUCUGUGUGUGGUCGCACGUCCUCCUCAUGGCCACGCUGGGAUGGAGGUGGACUCUGAGCACAGACAAGGGACCCAUGGCCCAGAGCCCAGAGUCACCCGCAGCCCCCCUGCGCUGCUGCUGCCCGCAUGGGGUACCCUUAAGUCCCACAUCCAAGCUCCCUCCACCCCACACUCUCCCUUGGAUUUGCGCCUGUUCUUUCUCUGGCUGUGCACCUGGCAGUGCUGAGAGGAGAGCCUGGUGGGCACUUCCACCCUGAUCAAAUUCAGUCAUUAACCCCACUGAAACCUGACAAGGCCUGUGUGCAGCUCACUGUGGAGGGGUCACUGCUGUCCUACCACUUUUUUUUUUUUCUGGAAGUUUGCAUGUCCUACACUAUCUAUAAAUAUGUAACUUUUUUUCCAAAGAACUUAAAAUGAAAGAAUAUGAGAAAACCCCUAAAUAAUACAUACAUGGUAUAGAUUGAUGCAUAAAACAGUCAGCCCCUGGACUCCAUGGCUCUGUGGAAUGGGCGGUUUAGUAUUCCUUUUUCUGGCAACUCACUUAGGGCUUUUACAGGUGCAAUGAGCUUUGGUGAAAAUAGCCAAUGGGCACCUCGUAUCUUGUGCCCCAAAUAUUCCUAUUUAGCACAGUGUAUUCUGGAUGCCUGAGUGACUGCAAACCCUCCUCCUGUGUAACUUUGUUACUGUUUUUCCUGUCUCAGGAAAGAUGCUCAUUUUGUCUCCUGACUGUGGCAGUUGGGGGUCUUGAGACCAUUCCUGAGUUUAGACCUUCCCAGGGGAGAUCAGUGACCACAGAUGUGCCUCGGUGAAUUUCACAAACCCAGCUUAGCGUGACCCAAGUUUCCAGCUUUACCGAACUUUGUCAUUGUUAUUAAAAAGAUGAUUUUAGUGUGCUGAUUAGAAACUGGGAUCCACAUUCAACAUAAGCACAAACUUUUUUUCCCAGUGGGCCAAAGCUCAUUUCUGAUCAUUAAAAGCUAAUCCUGAAAAUUAGCUGGAGCAUGGUUCAAGCAUACGUUGUAAUCUGUUAAAAGCAAAAAUAAUAAUUUCAAGCAGUGUUCUGCGUCUGUGUGGAAACAGCUGGUCUACCCCAAAGAGCAUCAGGAGGCUAUACCCUCCUCCCACAAUUCCAAAUAAAAUAUAUGGAGACAGCACAGCAUCCGGAAGAACUGGCAUUGGUAAAUUAUUGCCUCCAAAGAAUAUUAGUUAGCAAACAUACUUUGAAAGCCAUCUUCACAAUCAUAAAUUCAAUAGUACUUCUUUCAGUCACAACUGAAUGCCAGUUGGGGCAGCCUUUCGAGUUGUUAAGCAGUUUAGUAGCAAAUGUGACAUAUAGUGUGUGUGCCACAGUAAGAUUUCAAAUUGUCAUUAAUUUGUAAAAUUUAGGAGAAGAAAUGAUAUAUUGUGACGAGAUAAUAGUUUUCUCUGUAUGUACUCCAAGCUAUCAAAUACUUCUAGCCUUUAACUUGGCAGUGUUACUCUUGGCAUUUUAUUCUAUGGAAACAACUGAAAUGAAUGGAAGAAAAAAUAAUAUUCCUGUUCAAGAUGCUUAUUAGAGUGUAUUUGAUAGACUUUGUUUUCUAGGAAAGCUUUAGACUUUUAGAAAAAUUGAGGAGAUAUUAUAGGUUAUUCCCAUAGGCUUCCCACCACUUCCCCCUGACAAGUUUCCCAUGUUUUUUGUGUGUGUGUGUGUUUUGGUUUUUGUUUGUUUGUUUUUGUGACAGGGUCUCACUCUGUCACCCAGGCUGGAGUGCAAUGGUGCAAUCUUGGCUCUUGCAACCUCCGCCUCCCAGACUCAAGCGAUUCUUGCCCCUCAGCCUCCCAAAUAGCUGGGACUACAGGAGUGUGCCACCGGCUAAUUUUUUUUAUUUUUGGUAGAAACGUUGUUUCACCAUGUUGCCCAGGCUGGUCUCAAACUCCUGACCUCAAAUGAUCCACCCACCUCAGCCUCCCAAAGUGCUGGGAUUACAGGUGUGAGCCACCAUGCCCACCCUCUCCCCUGUUAAUUUACCUCUUUCAUUAGUAUGGUACAUUUCUUAGAGUUCAUGAGUCAAUAUUGAUAUGUUUUUAUUAAAGUCCACACUUUAUUUGCAUCUCUUUAGCUUUAACCUCAUGCCGUGUCUCUGUUCCAGGAUCCAAAUCCUAUUCCAUUGUCAUGCCUCCUUAGCCUUCUCUUGGCUGGGACAUUUUCUCAGACUUUUCCUGUCUUUGAUGACCUUGAAGGUCUUGAGGCAUGCUGGGCCAGGUGUAUGAUAGGAAUCCCUCUACUGGAAUUUGUGCAAUGCUUUUCUCAGGUUUCAUCUUGAGUUACAAGUUUUGUGGAGAAGGACCACAGGGUGAAGUGCUAUUUCCAUCCUAUCCUGUCAAGGGUAUAUACCAUCAACUUUAUUUAUGGCUGCUGAUGUUGACCUUGAUCCUUUGACUUGAGGUAGUGUCUGUCAAGUUAUUCUGCUGUAAAGUCAUUGUGCCCCUCCACAGCCCAUACUGAACUUUUGGAAGGAAGUCACUGUGCACUUAAGGAGUUGGGCGUUAGACCCCCUGUCCUUGAGGGUGGGGUGUCUAUGUAAAUUUUUUAGAAUUCUUUUGCAGGGGAGAUCUGUUUCUCUCCCCCAUUUAUGACUAUAUUCAGUUGUCUAUUUGUAUUCAUGUGGACUUGUGAAUAUUUAUUUUGUAUUCUAGGCUGCUAUCCAAUACUGCUGUGGCCCAGAUUAUUCCACCCGUGGCUCCUGGGGGCUCCUCUGGCUGCUCCCACACCCUUUGCCCUACACCCCAUCUCUGUGGGGUUUCUUUUGUUUGAGCACUUUCCUUCCUUUCUGUCAGUACAAGGUGCAUUUUGUAUCUUUCCUGCCACAAUCUUAGAAUCGGCUGUUUCCCAAAGAGCUCUGGUUCCUUUUACUGGAGAAUGGUAUUAGAAACCAGUGUCUUGGAGCUAGGCGUGCUCGUUGCUUCUGGGGUGCCAUUUCUUGGUUCUCUUGGCCAACAGAGUAAAGAACGAAAUGUGUGUAUACUAACCUGCAUAUGCAUAUAUAUCUACAAAUAUUUCUAUAUGUAACCAUCUGUAUCUAUAUUUAACAGAUUUCAUAUUCUUACUGGCAUAAAAUUGGAAAUAACUAAGUGUUUUAACAUGAGGAAUGGCUACAACUAUGUUAAUACUACCUCCAUGAUGCAACUGUUAUAAGGGACAGGUUGGAAAACUGUGGAAACAUAAUACUUUACAUUAAAAAGUAGUAUUUUUUAUUGUAGAGUCUCCAACAAAGGUCUCUGUUGGAGUUACGCUUACAAUGUGAUAGUUGUGUGUGUGUACGGAUAUGAACUUUAAAGGAAAAAUGGAAAAGGUAGAUAAGCCAUGGCUUAUUCAUAUUAAACUAACAUAAAAUUAACUUUGCUUCUGCCAUAAUGUUAGUCUUCCAGUGAGUUCUUGCUGAAACCUGAAUGAAGUUGAUGUAUUUAAUUUUAAAUGAAAGAAAUGAGACACUUUUUAUUCCGUUGUUGUGUUAGCCCUGCAGUGCUUUUUCAGGCCCUCCCAGAUUAAUAAUGACCUUGUUUACUCAUUGACAGUAACCAAAGAGCCUGCUAAAAAAGUUGUGAAGUUAAGGUCAAAGCAGUUUUAUGGGAGGAAAUCUGUGAGUGUUUAAAGGAAGGAUUUCCAUAAUAGCAAGAAGAGCCCAAAGUUGGGAAUUCUUCUUUUGCUUUUCCACUCUGAUCUUUGUAUUAAUGCUUGAUUGACUGAAUAAAUGCCAUGUAUCUUA
Homo sapiens (human) is the source of this 8587-nucleotide long non-coding RNA. RefSeq lists it as uncharacterized. The record is from RefSeq and is a predicted model, not a curated record. The transcript has 2 exons. Lineage: Eukaryota; Metazoa; Chordata; Mammalia; Primates; Hominidae.